AACUUCAUAAUUUAAUUUCUCUUAUACAUAUAGUAUAGCAUUACCAUGCCUCAAGCUUGCAUCUCAAUGGCGAGCUCGAUCUUUGCAGUAGCUAGCAGUAGUAACUAACGGCACGCACAAAGCAUCGAUGAGCACCAUGCAUGGAUCAUCACAGCGAAGACGUGCUUAGCUUGCGUAACCAGUAUGUAUCGUCGGAGUAGCUAGCCGAUGAAUUAGUAGCUGUAGUUCUUGACGAACAUGCCCUCCUUGGCCUCGGCGGCCUCGCCGUCGGAGGUGUACUUGCCGAGCUGCGCCAGCGAGUUGGCCUUGGCGCGCAGCAGCAGCGCGUCCUGCGCCGCCUUGACGUUCUCCGGCACGCCGCCCCACGUCUUGAGGCAGGUGUUCUGCAGCGCCCGCGCGUAGGAGAAGGACACGUGCCACGGGUUGGGCCCCUGGUUCAUGGCGUUGAGGUUCUGCGUCGCCUCCACCUCCGACUGCCCGCCGGAGAGGAACAUGAUGCCGGGGACGGAGGGCGGGAUGCGGCGGUGGAGGAGCUUCAGGGUGUACUCGGCGACCUGCUCCGGCGUGGCCCGGUCCUUAGCCUCGGCGCCCGGCGUCACCAUGGAUGGCUUGAGCAGGAUGCCCUCGAACAUGACGUUGUUCUCCGCCAUGGCGUAGAAGGUCUCGGCCCACACCUUCUGCGCCACCUCGAAGGUCCGCUCGAUGCCGUGCUCGCCGUCCAGCAGGAUCUCCGGCUCUACGAUCGGCACAAGUCCGUUGUCCUGCUCG
This 768-nucleotide long non-coding RNA is filed under the name Setaria italica (foxtail millet). Its description in RNAcentral is "long non-coding RNA (SITA_LNC005517)". The record is from RNAcentral. Lineage: Eukaryota; Viridiplantae; Streptophyta; Magnoliopsida; Poales; Poaceae.